RNAcentral lists this ribosomal RNA (378 nucleotides) under uncultured bacterium. RNAcentral describes it as "bacterial SSU rRNA". It matches the Rfam family "Bacterial small subunit ribosomal RNA", at positions 29 to 385 of the family's 1533-position model. The record is from RNAcentral.
AACGAACGCUGGCGGCGUGGAUUAGGCAUGCAAGUCGAGCGGGGUAUUCGGUGUAGCAAUAUAUUGGAUACCUAGCGGCGGACGGGUGAGUAAAGCAUGGGCAACCUGCCCUUGAGACGGGGAUAGCCUGCCGAAAGGCGGAGUAAUCCGCGAUGUGUUCGCCCUGCGCAUGCAGGGACGACCAAAGGUGGGGAUCCGAAAGGACCUACCGCUCAAGGAUGGGCCCAUGUCCCAUCAGCUUGUUGGUGAGGUAACGGCUCACCAAGGCUUACGGGUAGCUGGUCUGAGAGGAUGGUCAGCCACACUGGGACUGAGACACUGCCCCAGACUCCUACGGGAGGCUGCAGUCGAGGAUCUUGGACAAUGUGCGAAAGCGUG